UAAAAUAACAUGGUGAAUAUUAUAAAGUAGUGUAUUGUAAAAUGUAAAAUUUUAGGUAAUAUUUACAUCAGCUACAGUUAAGGAGAACAAUUAAUACUAAAUUGUGGAAUUUUAUUUUUGAUGGUAGAUGUUUUUUGUAACUCAUGCUUACUAAUAUGUUUAUGCCUUUGCUGCAAAUUCUACCCCUAUUAUUGUGAUAGGAUGAUAUGCAAGUCAUAUUUCAAGAAGUUAGGAUGGACAAAUAAGGACCACGAAGACUCUAGCUGCCUUCAAGAAGUCAGGAUAAGAGGCCUUCAGCAAAUGUACCCUCAAUAAAGAGGAGAGCUAUACAAUUAUGUUCGGGAGUCAAGACUCAAGAAAACACUCAUUUGUUAAUUUAUUUCUCUAUUGAUGCUACAUGUUGCAUCAGGAUGCUAUGUGGAAUGUGUACUAUGAACCGUGAUAUGGAAUUGGCAUUGAUGUUUACUGAAAAUAUAUUCUGUUGGACAGUUGACUUGGUCAAUGGAAAAAUAGUCCCCAUAGAAUCGGG
RNAcentral lists this long non-coding RNA (529 nucleotides) under Triticum aestivum (bread wheat). RNAcentral describes it as "long non-coding RNA (TAES_LNC014954)". Lineage: Eukaryota; Viridiplantae; Streptophyta; Magnoliopsida; Poales; Poaceae. The record is from RNAcentral.